AUUGGGCACGAAGUAACAAACUUCAAACUAAGAAGAAUGUUACCAGUUACUGAGUAAUAAGCUCUUAGGAGACUCAAAGCAUCUAUCUAGGUAAGAGCUAGAAAGAAACAGUCAAACAAGACUCAACCUAAUGAGGACAUAACUCAAGGGGAGUGGUUUCAUCCGGAUAAUCAAUUGGGAAGGAAACUGAAGUAAUAAUCAUCCACGAGGAAACAACUCAGUGGGGAAGAGGAGAAAGGUUAAAGUCUUUCU
RNAcentral lists this long non-coding RNA (252 nucleotides) under Lathyrus oleraceus (garden pea). RNAcentral's name for it is "Pisum sativum (pea) long non-coding RNA (PSAT_LNC016148)". The record is from RNAcentral. Lineage: Eukaryota; Viridiplantae; Streptophyta; Magnoliopsida; Fabales; Fabaceae.